AUCAGGUAGGGACACCCGCUGAACUUAAGCAUAUCAAUAAGCGGAGGAAAAGAAAAUAACAAUGAUUCCCCUAGUAACUGCGAGUGAAGAGGGACAAGCUCAAAUUUAAAAUCUGUUAGGUUUUACCUGACCGAGUUGUAAUUUGAAGAGGCGUUUUCAUCGUUUUUGGUCAGCUCAAGUCCUAUUGAAUGAGGCAUCAUGGAGGGUGAUAAUCCCGUCCGGUUGAUCAAUGCGUUUUACGAUACGUCUUCCAAGAGUCAAGUUGUUUGGGAUUGCAGCUUAAAAUGGGAGGUAAAUUUCUCCUAAGGCUAAAUAACGGCGAGAGACCGAUAGCGAACAAGUACCGUGAGGGAAAGAUGAAAAGAACUUUGAAAAGAGAGUCAAACAGUACGUGAAAUUGUUGAAAGGGAAACGAUUGAAGCCAGUCGUACCGGCGGAUAAUCAGCCUUUCGAGUGCGAUUCUGUGGAGCGUGAGGAGCUUAAUUGCCUUCACGUCUUGCAUAUUCGUGCACUUUUGGUGCACUUGUCCGUGUGGUGAGUUAACAUCAAUUCCGGUCGGCAUAAAAUGAUUGGAGGAAUGUAGCUUCGAUCUCGUAUCGAAGUGUUAUAGACUCUGGUAGAUGUGACGAUUGGGAUUGAGGAUUGCAACGGAUACCCUUCGGGCUACCCGCCUGAUCUCUGAAGGUUGCUCCGGUGCCGAAAGCGUGCUUAUGGUCAUCGAAAGUGAUCGUCAAAAGGUUAGAACGGGUUAAAUUCGUUAAGGAUGUUGACGUAAUGGCUUUAAACGACCCGUCUUGAAACACGGACCAAGGAGUCUAACAUAUAUGCGAGUGUU
This 835-nucleotide ribosomal RNA is filed under the name uncultured Glomeraceae. RNAcentral describes it as "eukaryotic LSU rRNA". It matches the Rfam family "Eukaryotic large subunit ribosomal RNA", at positions 10 to 694 of the family's 3401-position model. The record is from RNAcentral. Lineage: Eukaryota; Fungi; Glomeromycota; Glomeromycetes; Glomerales; Glomeraceae.